This 431-nucleotide ribosomal RNA is filed under the name uncultured bacterium. Its description in RNAcentral is "partial 16S ribosomal RNA". It matches the Rfam family "Bacterial small subunit ribosomal RNA", at positions 29 to 505 of the family's 1533-position model. The record is from RNAcentral.
AACGAACGCUGGCGGCAGGCUUAACACAUGCAAGUCGAACGGAUCCUUCGGGAUUAGUGGCAGACGGGUGAGUAACGCGUGGGAACGUACCCUUUGCUACGGAAUAACUCAGGGAAACUUGAGCUAAUACCGUAUGUGCCCUACGGGGGAAAGAUUUAUCGGCAAAGGAUCGGCCCGCGUUGGAUUAGCUAGUUGGUGGGGUAAUGGCCUACCAAGGCGACGAUCCAUAGCUGGUCUGAGAGGAUGAUCAGCCACACUGGGACUGAGACACGGCCCAGACUCCUACGGGAGGCAGCAGUGGGGAAUAUUGGACAAUGGGCGCAAGCCUGAGCCAGCCAUGCCGCGUGAGUGAUGAAGGUCUUAGGAUUGUAAAGCUCUUUCACCGGUGAAGAUAAUGACGGUAGCCGGAGAAGAAGCCCCGGCUAACUUCG